Molecule: ribosomal RNA, 1368 nt
Filed under: Rice orange leaf phytoplasma
Lineage: Bacteria; Bacillati; Mycoplasmatota; Mollicutes; Acholeplasmatales; Acholeplasmataceae
Description: bacterial SSU rRNA
Rfam family: Bacterial small subunit ribosomal RNA
Source: RNAcentral
GUUUGAUCCUGGCUCAGGAUUAACGCUGGCGGCGUGCCUAAUACAUGCAAGUCGAACGGAAGUUUGAGCAAUUAAACUUUAGUGGCGAACGGGUGAGUAACGCGUAAGCAAUCUGCCCCUAAGACGAGGAUAACAGUUGGAAACGACUGCUAAGACUGGAUAGGAGACAAGAAGGCAUCUUCUUGUUUUUAAAAGACCUAGCAAUAGGUAUGCUUAGGGAGGAGCUUGCGUCACAUUAGUUAGUUGGUGGGGUAAAGGCCUACCAAGACUAUGAUGUGUAGCCGGGCUGAGAGGUUGAACGGCCACAUUGGGACUGAGACACGGCCCAAACUCCUACGGGAGGCAGCAGUAGGGAAUUUUCGGCAAUGGAGGAAACUCUGACCGAGCAACGCCGCGUGAACGAUGAAGUAUUUCGGUACGUAAAGUUCUUUUAUUAGGGAAGAAUAAAUGAUGGAAAAAUCAUUGCUGACGGUACCUAAUGAAUAAGCCCCGGCUAACUAUGUGCCAGCAGCCGCGGUAAUACAUAGGGGGCAAGCGUUAUCCGGAAUUAUUGGGCGUAAAGGGUGCGUAGGCGGUUAAAUAAGUUUAUGGUCUAAGUGCAAUGCUCAACAUUGUGAUGCUAUAAAAACUGUUUAGCUAGAGUAAGAUAGAGGCAAGUGGAAUUCCAUGUGUAGUGGUAAAAUGCGUAAAUAUAUGGAGGAACACCAGUAGCGAAGGCGGCUUGCUGGGUCUUUACUGACGCUGAGGCACGAAAGCGUGGGGAGCAAACAGGAUUAGAUACCCUGGUAGUCCACGCCGUAAACGAUGAGUACUAAACGUUGGGUAAAACCAGUGUUGAAGUUAACACAUUAAGUACUCCGCCUGAGUAGUACGUACGCAAGUAUGAAACUUAAAGGAAUUGACGGGACUCCGCACAAGCGGUGGAUCAUGUUGUUUAAUUCGAAGGUACCCGAAAAACCUCACCAGGUCUUGACAUGCUUCUGCAAAGCUGUAGAAACACAGUGGAGGUUAUCAGUUGCACAGGUGGUGCAUGGUUGUCGUCAGCUCGUGUCGUGAGAUGUUGGGUUAAGUCCCGCAACGAGCGCAACCCUUAUUGUUAGUUACCAGCACGUAAUGGUGGGGACUUUAGCAAGACUGCCAGUGAUAAAUUGGAGGAAGGUGGGGACGACGUCAAAUCAUCAUGCCCCUUAUGACCUGGGCUACAAACGUGAUACAAUGGCUGUUACAAAGGGUAGCUGAAGCGCAAGUUUUUGGCGAAUCUCAAAAAAACAGUCUCAGUUCGGAUUGAAGUCUGCAACUCGACUUCAUGAAGUUGGAAUCGCUAGUAAUCGCGAAUCAGCAUGUCGCGGUGAAUACGUUCUCGGGGUU